ACUACCCUAACAACACACAACAUUCCAGGAAUGUACUACCAAAGUUCUAUCAAUAUUUGAAUGUCCUGGACAUUUAGGGAACAUUCGGUGAACAUCUGUUUAAAUUAUUCCUGGAAUGUUACCAUAAGACAUUCUGUGAACAUACUACCAAUGUUCCUAUAUUUUAAGUUGCGAAAUAAUACAUACAUGUAACAGAUACAACAUUACUUAUAUAACAUACCAGACAAACUAAGUGACACUUUAGGCCUACAGUGCAAUAAUAUGUCAAAUUUAAAGAGUUUCCCAAGUUCAAUUAAUACAAUAUUAUAAACAUACAAAUGUAAUAAAAAUUAUUGUUCGCGAAUAUUCAAUUUGGAAUGCGAUUUUGUUCAUAAAAAAAAUACUUAUAACUUAUGCAAAACCCAAGAGAGGCAUUUAUAUUUAUUUCUUUUGCGUUCAUUUUCAAAUUCGCCGUGCAUAUAUUUUUGUGCAUGGCGCUUGAGAGGGCAUCACGUGACUAAAAACGACCAACCAACGACCUCGCUUCGGCCAUCUUGGCAUCUUCAUCUUGGACACCUUGCUUUGCCGUGGGUGGAUCGUUGUUUGGUAUUAUUUGUGCUUUUUAAGAAUAUUUUUUUAAUUCGGAUACUUUUAUAAUAGCUUUAAUAGUAUUAUUAACAUAGUGAAUAAAAUGGUGUCCUGUUUUUAACGCAGUUGGAGUAGCAGAAACAAAUGUAGAUAACAAAAUCUGCAGGAAUAACGUUUCAAUUAUGACAGAAGCUCCAAACAAAUGACUGUGAAUGAAAAGCCCUAUUAAAAGCUUUCCAGAAGAUCCUGCGAAGAAGACAUGAAGUAUAGAUCAGAUUUGUUAAUAGAGGAGUAUGUUCAAAACACUUUUUAGAAAAAGAUAUUGACAGAACUUCACUUUCAUCUGUUCGUUUAAGAGACUGUGCUGUUCCAAUAGCUUAUGUCACACAGAAUCAGCUGAGAGAAGUGGUCUACAAAAAACCAGAAAGGAAACGGAAUAUGUGGCUACGAAAAGCAAAAGAAAGGUUUACAAAGCAAAUGUGACACAUUUUUUUAUAAUAUUUAGGAAUGUCAGUAAAUUACAUUAAAAAAUGUAUGUAAAGAUUUUUUGCAAUAAAAAUGUUUAUAUUUA
Diabrotica virgifera virgifera (western corn rootworm) is the source of this 1138-nucleotide long non-coding RNA. RefSeq lists it as uncharacterized. NCBI's taxonomy places the organism in Eukaryota, Metazoa, Arthropoda, Insecta, Coleoptera, Chrysomelidae. The transcript is spliced from 3 exons. The record is from RefSeq and is a predicted model, not a curated record.